This 338-nucleotide unclassified non-coding RNA is filed under the name fungal sp. RNAcentral describes it as "partial internal transcribed spacer region". The stretch from base 1 to 46 matches the Rfam family "Eukaryotic small subunit ribosomal RNA", at positions 1786 to 1831 of the family's 1831-position model. The record is from RNAcentral. Lineage: Eukaryota; Fungi.
AAGUCGUAACAAGGUUUCCGUAGGUGAACCUGCGGAAGGAUCAUUACCAAAAUUGUGCGUUCAUUCACACAUUUUUACCCAAUCGAGUCUGCAGUCAAGAUUGGUGAACAAGUCUUUAACUUCGUAUGGAGAUGAAGCAAACAACCUAGGCCGGUAUAGUCUACCUAGACCGUCAGCCCGCUGUAAGCUGUCGCAGUAGUCGGUAUGGAGAGCCUCGGUCAAUCAAUUGACUGAAAUGGCUAGCAACUGUGCUUUUGCACAACGAGUUUCUCGUAAACUCUGUGAUUAGAAAGCAACAAACAAAGCAGUACAACUGCAAACGGUGGAUCACUCGGCUC